RNAcentral lists this ribosomal RNA (256 nucleotides) under uncultured bacterium. Its description in RNAcentral is "partial 16S ribosomal RNA". It matches the Rfam family "Bacterial small subunit ribosomal RNA", at positions 524 to 776 of the family's 1533-position model. The record is from RNAcentral.
GACGAACCGUGCGAACGUUAUUCGGAAUCAUUGGGCUUAAAGGGCGCGUAGGCGGCGGCGUAAGUUGGAAGUGAAAUCCCAUCGGCUCAACCGUGGAAUUGCUCCCAGUACUGCGUCGCUCGAGGGGGAUAGGGGUCUGCGGAACUACCGGUGGAGCGGUGAAAUGUGUUGAUAGUCGGUGGGAACGCCAGUGGCGAAAGCGGCAGACUUGACCCUUCCUGACGCUGAGGCGCGAAAGCUAGGGGGAGCAAACGGG